GAACGAACGCUGGCGGCGUACUUAACACAUGCAAGUCGGACGAGAAAGGAAGCCUCGGCUUCUGAGUAAAGUGGCGUACGGGUGCGUAACACGUAAGUAAUCUACCCUGGACUCUGGGAUAACUCCCCGAAAGGGGGGCUAAGACUGGAUAGAGACCUGAGGUGCAAGCCUUGGGAGGAAAACAAGCCUCUGCAUCAUGCUUGUGGUUCAGGAUGAGCUUGUGGCCCAUUAGCUAGUUGGCGGGGUAAUGGCUCACCAAGGCAACGAUGGGUAGCUGGUCUGAGAGGACGAUCAGCCACACUGGCACUGAGAUAC
Molecule: ribosomal RNA, 315 nt
Filed under: uncultured bacterium
Lineage: Bacteria
Description: bacterial SSU rRNA
Rfam family: Bacterial small subunit ribosomal RNA
Source: RNAcentral